ACAAAAGGCAAAUAUGCAAAACCCUCCAGGACUGAGGAUGCUCUGGCCAGGAGCAGGGCCAUCUCAGGGUCCCCACCAUACUGAUGGAGAAACUGAGGCUCAGAGCGUGGUCACCGAUCCUUCUCACGCUAGUCUGUAAAGUGCUGUUGCCCAAUGGGAUUAUGCACAGGAACAAGGGAGCGGGACACCUGGGGUGUCUCUGUGUGUCCCUGGCUAAAACCACCGUCCCGGUUUGUGCCUCAGUUUCUCCAGCUGCUAACCAAGGCUUAUGACAUCGAUCCACAUCACAGGGCUGGCAGGCUCUGGCCUGGCGGCUGCAUUGAGACCCAGACACAGUGUAGAGUUGAAGCAUAGCUUGUUUAAUUUUUAUACAUUUUUUCUUAUUUUUUUCCUUUCUUUCUGUUUUUUUAAACUUUUUUUUUGUUUUGUUUUGUUUUUUUUUGCAUAGGGGGGAAAAAAACCCAUAGUCGCUUUCAGUAAGGUGUACGUAGGCAGGAGCAUCUGCUAAACAAUAAUGGCUGCAUACAAUGUUAUAAUCAAAUAUUGUGAGGCACCAGGGAAGCAACCAAAGGAGCUAUCCAGCCAUGGGGGUGGGGUAGGAAACGGGGAGGGGGAUCUACAUGCAGGUGGGGGAGCCGGGGGGCCAAUGGAGGGGGUUUGAUCAGAGAGCUUUGCCAACAAGGCACUGCCUAAGAAGCCGCCCAUGCGAUAUACGCCCCGCAGCUCGGCCUUCCCUGGUGCCGUGGUACGUGUGUGUAAUGUGGCGCCGCAAGCAAGAAGCAAGAAACAGAAUAACUAUGACUGUAAUGUCCGUCCCAGAGCAACGGAAAGGAAGGAACAAAAGAGCUUCCAAAUGAAAUCAAAACCAAAGGAAAAAACGAAUGUUCCACUCGGUCCCAGCAUAUCUCCACGAAAUAUCUUCUGCCCGGCGCUAGCCUCACCAGCCUCAGCCUGGAGAAAGCCCAAUGGAGAAGGACGCGCCGCCUGCACCCCCCCCCGCCACGCCCUGCCAUCGGGGGAGGGGGAUGCUAACCAGUUCUGGGGCCAGCCCGAGGCAGGGGCAAGAUUGGCUUGGGAUUGCGGCGUUCUGAGCCUGGCAACCCGUGGCAGGAUUCAAAGGCUGGCCAAGCUGUGCCUUGGGGACCUGAGCCAAGGCCUAGCUGUGGCCAUGGAUAGCUUCCCAUUGGCUUCAGGAGGCUCUGGCUCAGAUGCCGGGGGAAGAAACCAUGGACUGACCCCAGAAUGUCAGUCCCACCUGUGUGCGCCCGACCAUGGCCCCUGCCCUGCCACAAUUUUCCCACGAAGGAAGCCCUCGAUUUUUUUCCGAACAAAGUUCUUGAGGCUUGAAUGAAACAAAAAACUCUGCCCCCAUCUGCUAAUGAUCUUGCUGGGUGGGUGUGGCUAAAUACUGACCCCGCCCAUCGUCUUGCCCCAUCCUGACAGCAUGGCAAAGGACGAAGAUGGACUUUCCCUUGGACAGAGGCAGUGCUGUGUAGGAAACAUACAAGAUGGUUGUAUAAGCAACCCCCCCCCCUUUCCGGCUGCCCACCCUCCAAAAUCCUGGGCAGGGCGGGGCAAAAAAAAAAAAAAAAAAAAAAAGAAAGCCAAGCCAGCAGUAAGUAAGAGGCACUGCUUUGUCAGAAUUUUUGGUAUUGGUGUAUUUCAGAUUCCUGCUGGCUACUGCUUUUUUUUUUUGGUUGUUGUGUGUAAAACUAUGGUUGCCGUCGUCGUUAUUAACCAGAACAGGCAGGGCUCUGGAGCAUGUAGAACCACCAAAGUGAAUCGGGCCAACCUGAAGGAACCCCAGUUCUGAUGGAGUCGGGGGUUGAAACAUGGGGGAAGGAGGAGGGGGAGGAUCUUGUGAUAACUUGGAUGUUCCCAACAGGAAUUCCAGACUUGUUAGUCUAGAAAGGUCUGGAUUUGCCCAGUGAAGGGGACUUUAGUAAGUUCUCCUCCUAUCCUCGGAGCCACCUCAGGGCAGAAGGGCGAGGGGAGAGACUAGGGGUUACGUCCCUCGCUGGGGUCCUUCGGCAGAGCUCCCGGGUGGCCUCAGUGGAGCCACAGGGAUUUCACACCUGCACUUGCACAGAUUUAGGCAUGUGCUUAGCUCAUGCUUCCCUCUCGCUGCCGUGCUGUGCCGGACUCUAGCUUGGGCUGGACAGGGGCAUAAGACUCCUCUGCAGCAGGAUUGGGGCCUUUUGUCUGCUGAGGAUCUGCCCCCCCCAGCCCCCAAUACUUCAGCUAAAUAUGGAAGGAAGUGGCAGCCAAGCAGCGUCUUUGCUCUAUUAAAAUAGACCAAGCCUCAAGAUCCAUGUGCAAGCUGAAGAGACAAAAAGUAGCAAUUUCCAACUCAUAUUGCAAUGAAACAAAAGACACCCUCGUUUGUGAUGUAAGGUACCUUGACUGCCCAGGGGACCCCGGGGCUGUGACGAAGGAUUGUCUGCUCUUAGGUUUUGCAUGCACAGGUCCUAUGCUCAGCCCCCAGCCUCCUUCCCGACACGAAACAAACGACAUUAAAACCGGAACAGCUGGAUUAUCAUCUUCUCCAGAGAGGAGCAGGUGGGGUAGCUGUAGAUACAUUUGACCUUGUGCCCAGGUCCCCAAGGCUCUGAGAUCCAGCCCCUGUAGCACCAUAUAGAGAGAGAGAUAUGUACAUGGUUUUCUAUUUAUAGGUCACGAGAACUUUUUGUGUUAGAUUUUUUAAAGACGUUGACAACAACAAC
Molecule: long non-coding RNA, 2723 nt
Organism: Dermochelys coriacea (leatherback sea turtle)
Lineage: Eukaryota; Metazoa; Chordata; Testudines; Dermochelyidae
Exons: 2
Source: RefSeq, a predicted model, not a curated record